UACGUAGGUGACAAGCGUUGUCCGGAUUUACUGGGCGUAAAGAGCGUGUAGGCGGCCUUACAGGUCAGCUGUGAAAACUCGAGGCUCAACCUCGAGACGUCGGUUGAAACCGUAAGGCUAGAGUCCGGAAGAGGAGAGUGGAAUUCCCGGUGUAGCGGUGAAAUGCGCAGAUAUCGGGAAGAACACCCGUGGCGAAGGCGGCUCUCUGGGACGGUACUGACGCUGAGACGCGAAAGCGUGGGGAGCGAACAGG
RNAcentral lists this ribosomal RNA (253 nucleotides) under uncultured bacterium. RNAcentral's name for it is "partial 16S ribosomal RNA". It matches the Rfam family "Bacterial small subunit ribosomal RNA", at positions 524 to 776 of the family's 1533-position model. The record is from RNAcentral.